Molecule: transfer RNA, 71 nt
Filed under: Nanobdellota archaeon
Lineage: Archaea; Nanobdellati; Nanobdellota
Description: tRNA-Gly
Rfam family: tRNA
About the family: Transfer RNA (tRNA) molecules are approximately 80 nucleotides in length. Their secondary structure includes four short double-helical elements and three loops (D, anti-codon, and T loops). Further hydrogen bonds mediate the characteristic L-shaped molecular structure. tRNAs have two regions of fundamental functional importance: the anti-codon, which is responsible for specific mRNA codon recognition, and the 3' end, to which the tRNAs corresponding amino acid is attached (by aminoacyl-tRNA synthetases). tRNAs cope with the degeneracy of the genetic code in two manners: having more than one tRNA (with a specific anti-codon) for a particular amino acid; and 'wobble' base-pairing, i.e. permitting non-standard base-pairing at the 3rd anti-codon position.
Source: RNAcentral
GCGCCGCUAGUUUAUCGGUAGAAUAUCUCGUUGCCAACGAGGUGAGCCGGGUUCGACUCCCGGGCAGCGCA